Molecule: non-coding RNA, 23 nt
Filed under: Cricetulus griseus (Chinese hamster)
Lineage: Eukaryota; Metazoa; Chordata; Mammalia; Rodentia; Cricetidae
Source: RNAcentral
UUUAUAAAAAAUGGUGCCUGACU